This 760-nucleotide ribosomal RNA is filed under the name uncultured bacterium. Its description in RNAcentral is "bacterial SSU rRNA". It matches the Rfam family "Bacterial small subunit ribosomal RNA", at positions 8 to 810 of the family's 1533-position model. The record is from RNAcentral.
AGAGUUUGAUCAUGGCUCAGAACGAACGCUGGCGGCAGGCCUAACACAUGCAAGUCGCACGCCCUUCUUCGGAAGGGAGUGGCGCACGGGUGAGUAACGCGUGGGAACGUGCCCUGGGGCUGGGGAUAACGGCGGGAAACUGCCGCUAAUACCCGGUACGCCUUGAGAGGGAAAGGAGCAAUCCGCCCUGGGAGCGGCCCGCGUUGGAUUAGCUAGUUGGUGGGGUAACGGCCUAUCAAGGCAACGAUCCAUAGCUGGUCUGAGAGGAUGAUCAGCCACACUGGGACUGAGACACGGCCCAGACUCCUACGGGAGGCAGCAGUGGGGAAUAUUGGACAAUGGGCGCAAGCCUGAUCCAGCCAUGCCGCGUGAGUGAAGAAGGCCUUAGGGUUGUAAAGCUCUUUCGCACGCGACGAUGAUGACGGUAGCGUGAGAAGAAGCCCCGGCUAACUUCGUGCCAGCAGCCGCGGUAAUACGAAGGGGGCAAGCGUUGUUCGGAAUUACUGGGCGUAAAGGGCGCGUAGGCGGAUCUGUGCGUCAGAGGUGAAAGCCCUGGGCUCAACCCGGGAAUGGCCUUUGAAACGGCGGGUCUUGAGUGAGGGAGAGGAGUGCGGAAUACCCAGUGUAGAGGUGAAAUUCGUAGAUAUUGGGUAGAACACCGGUGGCGAAGGCGGCACUCUGGCCCUUAACUGACGCUGAGGCGCGAAAGCGUGGGGAGCAAACAGAAUUAGAUACCCUGGUAGUCCACGCUGUAAACGAU